UUAACUCUCUGUAUAAAGUCAUUGAUGAAGCUAAUUUGUCAAAAAUGGAUCUGGAGAGUCAAAUAGAACGCCUGAAAGAAGAACUCUGCUUUCUGUCAAGGAGCUACGAAGAGGAUGUGAAAGUGCUGUACAAACAGCUGUCAGGGUCUGAGCUGGAACAAAUGGGUGUACCCAUCGGCACUGGUCUGGACGACAUCCUUGAGACCAUCAGGAUCCACUGGGAGAAAGAUGUCGAAAAGAACCGGGCGGAAGCAGGGGCCUUGCUCCAAGCCAAGCAACAGGCAGAGGUGGCCCGCCGGGCGCAGACGCAGGAAGACAAGCUGGCCGCUGCCCUCAGGCUGGAACUGCACAACACUUCGUGCCGGGUCCAGAGCCUCCAGGCCGAGACGGAAUCCUUGCGGGCCCUGAAACGAGGCCUGGAGAACACGUUGCACGACGCCAAGCACUGGCACGACAUCGAGCUCCAGAGCCUGGGCGCCGUGGUCAGCAGGCUGGAGGCGGAGCUCAGGGAGAUGCGCUGGGAGGCCGGGCAGCAGCAGGAGGCUCGCGAGCAUCUGCGGGCGCGCAAGGCCCAGCUGCAGAGGGACGUGGCGUCCUACCACGCCCUGCUGGACAGGGAGGAGAGCUGGUAAGCCUCUCCUCGCCCCGCAUUCCUGUGGCAGCUCUACGUACUCACAGGUUCGAAAUUAGAAGUUUCCAAACACUAUAGAAGCAACGAAGCGAAUGAAGGAACUUCUCUUUUCACGAAGAAAAUGCUGCCCCCCUCACCAAGUGACCAGUGAAGUUCCUAGAGGAGUUUCCCCCACAUCGCCUAGACUCCCACCACCACCCUACCCUCCCAAGCUGCAUUCCUUGCUGGAUUCCCUGGUUGAUUCAGCUUAGUCUGAAAAGCAUCCUGGAAGUGGAGAGGGUCCUUCUGCCUUAAUUUAAAUAGUCUGUAACUUGAUCAACCUUCCUUGUCCCUCUCCAAAUAAAUGCUUUGUGUGUGGC
Molecule: RNA transcript, 990 nt
Organism: Mirounga angustirostris (Northern elephant seal)
Lineage: Eukaryota; Metazoa; Chordata; Mammalia; Carnivora; Phocidae
Gene: BFSP2
Gene name: beaded filament structural protein 2
Exons: 5
Source: RefSeq, a predicted model, not a curated record